UAUAUAAUUAAUUUGACUUUGGUUUUUGUUUUAGUUGUUAUAAUUUUAUACAUGUUAGGUUUAUUAUAUAUAUAUAUAUAUAUAUAUAUAUAAUCGUUUAUAGUGUUAAUAUUUAUAAUAGUUUUUGUAGUUUGAUUAAAUAUUGAGUACAUGAUUAUAUAUAGGUUUUUUUUAUUAAAUGAUAUUUAAUAUAAUAGUUGACUUUUUCAGUAUAUUAAUUUAUACAAUGAAUGAGAGUUUUAUAUAGAAAUUAUAAAUUAUGAUUGGAUAAAUUUGUGCCAGCAUCUGCGGUUAUACAUAUAAUUAAAAUUAAAAUGUUUUGGUUGAAAGUAAAGUAAGAUGUGUUUAUUAAUUAAGGGAGUUUUAUAGUUAAUUUUUUGGUAAAAUUUUUAAAUUAAUUUGUUUAUUAUUGGUUUCUUUAAUAUUGAUACUUUGAAAUUUUGAAAAUAAACUAGGAUUAGAUACCCUAUUAUUUUUUAGUGUAAAAAUUGAUUUGUUUAUUUACCUAAGUAUUAUGAAGAUAAUUUAAUGUUUUAUUAUGUUAUUUAAAACUUAAAAGGUUUGGCGGUUUUACAUAUCCAGUCAGGGGAAUUUGUUGAUAUAAUUUGAUAAUCCACAUUUUAAACUUACUUCUUUUUGAAUUUUUAUAUAAAACAGUUUAUAUAUUGCUGUCGAUAGUUUAUGUUUUAAGAAAAAAAGAACUUUUAAAUUUUUUAAUUGGUAUGUCAAGUCAUAAUGUAGCUAAUAAAGAAGGUUUAAUGAAUUACUUUGGUUUAUUUUAUUUGGUUACCGGAUAGUAAAUGUUAAGUUUAUUAGUAAGGUGGACUUGAUAGUAAAUUUAAUAAUUAGUAUGUAUAGUUGAAUAUGGUUUUGUAAAGUGUACAUAUCGCCCGUCACUCUUGUUGGUUAAAUAAGAUAAGUCGUAACAUAGUAGAAGUAAUGGAAAUUGUUUCUGGAGAAAUAUAUUAAUUUUAUAUUUGAA
RNAcentral lists this non-coding RNA (982 nucleotides) under Octopus mimus. The record is from RNAcentral. Lineage: Eukaryota; Metazoa; Mollusca; Cephalopoda; Octopoda; Octopodidae.